RNAcentral lists this ribosomal RNA (490 nucleotides) under uncultured bacterium. Its description in RNAcentral is "bacterial SSU rRNA". It matches the Rfam family "Bacterial small subunit ribosomal RNA", at positions 29 to 512 of the family's 1533-position model. The record is from RNAcentral.
AACGAACGCUGGCGGCGCGCCUAAUACAUGCAAGUCGAGCGAGAAGGUGUAGCAAUACACUUGUAAAGCGGCGAACGGGUGAGGAAUACAUGGGUAAUCUACCAUCGAGUGGGGAAUAACCAGCCGAAAGGUUGGCUAAUACCGCGUACGCCUCCGAAUCUUCGGGUUCGGAGGGAAAGCCACACUGUGAGUGCGGCGCUCUUUGAUGAGCUCAUGUCCUAUCAGCUUGUUGGUAGGGUAACGGCCUACCAAGGCUUUGACGGGUAGCUGGUCUGAGAGGACGAUCAGCCACACUGGCACUGCGACACGGGCCAGACUCCUACGGGAGGCAGCAGUAAGGAAUAUUGCGCAAUGGGCGAAAGCCUGACGCAGCGACGCCGCGUGGGGGAUGAAGGUCUUCGGAUUGUAAACCCCUUUCGGGAGGGAAGAUGGAGCGAGCAAUCGUUCGGACGGUACCUCCAGAAGCAGCCACGGCCAACUUCGUGCCAGC